GAGAAGAGGAGGAAUGGUUAUGGCAAUGAGGAAGAAGGAGGUGUUGUUAAACAGAGCAGAACAGAGAAGAAGUUUCAAGAAGAAGCAGAAGGCUGAGAUUGUUUUGUCCGUGCAAGGACAUUUUCUGUGGGAAGUGUUCUCUGGACAUGCGCAGUGUGACAGGAAGUACUGAAAACAAUGGUUCUGUGUAACUUGUUGUGAGUGUCUUGCUUGCGUCUUGAGAGGAGCAGAGAGAGAGUCUUGGGCUCUUGUUGGACUCUAAACAUGCCUUGACCAUUCAGUGGUGAAUGUCUGUAUAUAUUGUCUACCAAUAUGCUUUUAUGCCUGUCAAGUAAACCUCUACGAUUGACUGAA
Podarcis raffonei (Aeolian wall lizard) is the source of this 354-nucleotide long non-coding RNA. RefSeq lists it as uncharacterized. The record is from RefSeq and is a predicted model, not a curated record. The transcript has 2 exons. Lineage: Eukaryota; Metazoa; Chordata; Lepidosauria; Squamata; Lacertidae.